GGGAUGUAGUUCAAUGGUAGAAUGCUUGCUUAGCAUGUUGCUUAGCAUGUGUUAGGCCCUGGGUUUGAUCCCCAUUAUCACA
RNAcentral lists this transfer RNA (82 nucleotides) under Marmota monax (woodchuck). Its description in RNAcentral is "tRNA.Ala". Lineage: Eukaryota; Metazoa; Chordata; Mammalia; Rodentia; Sciuridae. The record is from RNAcentral.